UGGAGCUUAUUCCAGCUUGAGGGAAAGACUCUUCUUGGUGUGUCCUCCUGUUCUCCCUCUCCUCCUGCCCUCCUCCUUGCUAACGCCCACAGCCAGGGUGGGGGCAGUGACACCCACCCAGAUGUCAUUUCCCCAGAAGAAGCAGGCAAGGAGCCAGCAGCCCACAAGGGCACCUUGCGGUGUGUGGCAUCUCUCGUGCCUUCGGGAAGAACAACCCUAGUGAGGACAUGCCUUGGCGGGGAAGAGGAGGCUCUCACGUCGCAGAUGUGGUAUCUCUGUCAGCAUCAAAGGCACCGCCAGACACAGGCCCCGAACGCCAGCCUCCACUAACAGUUGCGCCAAGCCCUGGAGGCCAAGAUGAAGCCUUCCAAUGCUCAGAGAACUCUCAACUAAAGCUGCCGACAGACGACCCUACUGAGGAGCUCAUCCUGUGCCUGCUGGGGCUUGGGCUAUGUACACAUGCCCCCAGAGCAUUUCUCCUGAGACCAUGGGAGGAAGACAGGGUGUUAUUCCUGCUCUGUCCCCUGAGAACAAAGCCAGAGUGAGUUGGAUAAACUUCAAACUACAGAAGAAACUGGAAUUCACUAUAAGUAACUUGAUGGGUCGAGACCGAACUGGGAUAGGAUCAUCACUCAGUGUGUGUUUUAUCACUCGGUUUUAAAAAGUGUUUUCCCACCCAUUGGACGGGUAAGACCAAACUCUGAUAGAGAUGAGAACCGACAAAGGAACGUGACCUCGAAGCCCCAGAAGAAUGGUAGUGCGUGGAGCUCAUCAUGAGAAGGAAAAAGCAGGAGGAAGAGGGACCAGCGCUCUCUCUGAUCUAAGUCAAACUCCCAGUGAGGAGAGUAGGACACAGCCUCGCUUAUACUAGUAACAGCUCUUCUGCGAGCCAGGCCCUCUCCUGAGCGCUUCAUGGAAAUGUGAAUUUAAAAGUCAAGCACUCAAGAACCCCAGCUAUCUCAUCAACACUUCAGAUGCCUCAGAAAUGCAUCGGAAUUUUUUAAAAAUUGAUUCUCCAACUCUCUCCCUUCGCUUCUCUUCGGACCACGUGGGAUUUGCAGCAGAGUACACACGAUAGACACAUCCCCUGAAGUUCAUUUCAUGGCUCACUACUGGAUCCCAACUGGCACUUUGAAAAAAGUGAUCUAAUGGAAAGCACAUAGAUUUUGGUGUUAAAAAGAACAUUCUGGGAUUAAAUCUUGGUUCUGCCACUCACGACCUGUGUAAGUAUAGGAACACUGUUUUAUUUGCUUGUGUCAUAGUCUCCUCAUCUGUAAAAUGAAGACGGGCCAUCUCGC
Molecule: long non-coding RNA, 1298 nt
Organism: Talpa occidentalis (Iberian mole)
Lineage: Eukaryota; Metazoa; Chordata; Mammalia; Eulipotyphla; Talpidae
Exons: 6
Source: RefSeq, a predicted model, not a curated record